GAGUGAGGGGGUGACUAGUGACGGAGUGAGGGAAGGGGUGACUAGUGGCAGAGUGAGGAAAGGAAAGGGUUAUUAGUGACAGAGUGAGGGAGGUGGUGACUGUCACCAGUCACCACCUCCCUCCUUCUGUCACUACUCCCUCCCUCCUUCUGUCACUAGUCACCCCCUCUGUCCCUUACUCUGUCACUAGUCACCCCCUAACUCACUCUGUCACUAGCCAUCCCCCUAACUCACUCUGUCACCAGUCAUCCGCUCACUCUGUCACCAGUCAUCCCUUCCUUCCCUCA
This 287-nucleotide small RNA is filed under the name Pelobates cultripes (western spadefoot toad). Lineage: Eukaryota; Metazoa; Chordata; Amphibia; Anura; Pelobatidae. The record is from RNAcentral.